UGAGUCCGAUCCUGGCUCAGGAUGAACGCUGGCGGCGUGCCUAACACAUGCAAGUCGAACGAAGCGCUUUUCCCGAAUUUUCGGAGGAGGGGAGAGUGACUGAGUGGCGGACGGGUGAGUAACGCGUGGGGAACCUGCCCUGUACCGGGGGAUAACAGCCGGAAACGGCUGCUAAUACCGCAUAAGCGCACAGUGCCGCAUGGCACGGUGUGAAAAACCACGGUGGUACAGGAUGGCCCCGCGUCUGAUUAGUUGGUUGGCAGGGUAACGGCCUACCAAGACGGCGAUCAGUAGCCGGCCUGAGAGGGUGAACGGCCACACUGGGACUGAGACACGGCCCAGACUCCUGCGGGAGGCAGCAGUGGGGAAUAUUGCACAAUGGGGGAAACCCUGAUGCAGCGACGCCGCGUGAGCGAGGAAGUAUUUCGGUAUGUAAAGCUCUGUCAGCAGGGAAGAAGAAUGACGGUACCUGAAGAAGAAGCACCGGCUAAAUACGUGCCAGCAGCCGCGGUAAUACGUAUGGUGCAAGCGUUAUCCGGAUUUACUGGGUGUAAAGGGAGCGCAGGCGGUUCUGCAAGUCUGAUGUGAAAGCCCGGGGCUCAACCGCGGGACUGCAUUGGAAACUGCGGGACUGGAGUGUCGGAGGGGUAAGCGGAAUUCCUGGUGUAGCGGUGAAAUGCGUAG
RNAcentral lists this ribosomal RNA (684 nucleotides) under uncultured bacterium. RNAcentral describes it as "bacterial SSU rRNA". It matches the Rfam family "Bacterial small subunit ribosomal RNA", at positions 1 to 693 of the family's 1533-position model. The record is from RNAcentral.